AGAGCGAUGGUGUAGUGGAAGCACACUGUCUCAGCCAGAGAGGGGCGCUGGUUCAAAUCCAGCUCGCUCUCCA
RNAcentral lists this transfer RNA (73 nucleotides) under Rhizobacter gummiphilus. RNAcentral's name for it is "tRNA-Leu". It matches the Rfam family "tRNA". From Rfam's summary of the family: Transfer RNA (tRNA) molecules are approximately 80 nucleotides in length. Their secondary structure includes four short double-helical elements and three loops (D, anti-codon, and T loops). Further hydrogen bonds mediate the characteristic L-shaped molecular structure. tRNAs have two regions of fundamental functional importance: the anti-codon, which is responsible for specific mRNA codon recognition, and the 3' end, to which the tRNAs corresponding amino acid is attached (by aminoacyl-tRNA synthetases). tRNAs cope with the degeneracy of the genetic code in two manners: having more than one tRNA (with a specific anti-codon) for a particular amino acid; and 'wobble' base-pairing, i.e. permitting non-standard base-pairing at the 3rd anti-codon position. Lineage: Bacteria; Pseudomonadati; Pseudomonadota; Betaproteobacteria; Burkholderiales; Sphaerotilaceae. The record is from RNAcentral.